This 975-nucleotide long non-coding RNA is filed under the name Mus musculus (house mouse). RNAcentral's name for it is "predicted gene 28840". Lineage: Eukaryota; Metazoa; Chordata; Mammalia; Rodentia; Muridae. The record is from RNAcentral.
AGAAGGUGUGUCCACUAUUUUCCCAGUGGUGUAUGAAAGGCAGGCCAGCUCCUGAAGCCCAACGUUGUUCCUCAAGUUUUUUUUUGCCUGGUCUGUAUCAAAAGACAGAAUCUUGAUGACUAAGACAUUUUCUUUGGUACCUACAAGAAGGAUCCAGCUCUCUACUUCUAUCAACUCCUGGAUGACUACAAGAAAGGGAACCUCCACAUCAUUCCAGAAACUCCUCUGGCUGAGGAGAGAUCAGGAGAUGACAGUGAUGUGUUGAUAGAGAGAGACAUCAUGGCCUCCAUGCAGAGGAAUGUGUGGAUGGACAUAUAUUUAAGGAAGACACUAAACCAGAAAAUACCACAUUACACCCUCUUAAAAGACUUCUAAGAUUGUUGUCAUGCCUACCACAGACAUUCAGAUGAUGUGUAUUCUUGAUUGUGAUUUCAUGUUUGGAGCUGAUGAAGGAGAAAGUACCUGGAAUGUCCUAGAAUUCUCAAGACCCAGGAGAUGAACAUAUGCCUGAGAAGAAGAACUAGUGUGGAACUGUCAGCCAGGUUUUUGAUGAGUGCUCAGACUGCUUCCUGAUCCGGCACCACAUUUACUAUAGUGGACAGAUGCUCUAGUCUCUGAUGAGGAGUUGCUAGCUGUUAGGAAAAACCUGGAAUGGGCUCCACUGCAUGAGGCUUGGUCGAAGCCUUCCCCACUAAUAACAAGAACACCCAUGCCAUGGGAAAGAAGAUAUUAGAGGAAAGUUUCCCAAGAUUUGGCAUCUGUAAGGUACUUUCAUCAGACAAUGGCCCCUCCUUCAUUGUCCAGAACCCCCUCUAGCUCACUUGAAGGCCCUACAAUUGGUCAGAAAAGAUGCCUUGGAAAUGCUGAAACACAAUAAAAAACAAAAACAAAAACAAAAAAACAAAAAAACAUACUAACCAGGAACCAUCUUCGUGCCACAUAAAUUUCAAACAGAAGAUCCUGUCCGGGUCCGGU